RNAcentral lists this ribosomal RNA (756 nucleotides) under uncultured bacterium. RNAcentral describes it as "bacterial SSU rRNA". It matches the Rfam family "Bacterial small subunit ribosomal RNA", at positions 8 to 796 of the family's 1533-position model. The record is from RNAcentral.
AGAGUUUGAUCAUGGCUCAGAAUCAACGCUGGCGGCGUGCCUAACACAUGCAAGUCGCACGAGAAAGUGGAGCAAUCCAUGAGUAAAGUGGCGCACGGGUGAGUAACACGUGAAUUAUCUACCUCCGAGUGGGGAAUAACUGAGAGAAAUCUUAGCUAAUACCGCAUAACACUUACGAGUCAAAGCAGCAAUGCGCUUGGAGAGGAGUUCGCGGCCGAUUAGUUAGUUGGCGGGGUAAUGGCCCACCAAGACGAUGAUCGGUAUCCGGCCUGAGAGGGCGCACGGACACACUGGAACUGAAACACGGUCCAGACUCCUACGGGAGGCAGCAGUGGGGAAUUUUGCGCAAUGGGGGAAACCCUGACGCAGCAACGCCGCGUGGAGGAUGAAAUAUCUUGGUAUGUAAACUCCUUUCGAUGGGGAAGAUUAUGACGGUACCCAUAGAAGAAGCCCCGGCUAACUUCGUGCCAGCAGCCGCGGUAAUACGAGGGGGGCAAGCGUUGUUCGGAUUUAUUGGGCGUAAAGGGUGCGUAGGCGGUUUGGCAAGUCUUGUGUGAAAUCUUCGGGCUCAACCCGAAGUCUGCACAAGAAACUGCCGGGCUUGAGUAUGGGAGAGGUGAGUGGAAUUUCCGGUGUAGCGGUGAAAUGCGUAGAUAUCGGAAGGAACACCUGUGGCGAAAGCGGCUCACUGGACCAUAACUGACGCUGAUGCACGAAAGCUAGGGGAGCAAACAGGAUUAGAUACCCUAGUAGUCC